UACGGAGGGUGCAAGCGUUGUCCGGAUUUAUUGGGUUUAAAGGGUGCGUAGGCGGCUUCUUAAGUCUGGGGUGAAAGCCUGUUGCUCAACAACGGAACUGCCUUGAAGACUGGGGAGCUUGAGUACAGACGAGGGCGGCGGAAUGGAUGCUGUAGCGGUGAAAUGCAUAGAUAGCAUGCAGAACCCCGAUUGCGAAGGCAGCUGCCUAGGCUGUAACUGACGCUGAGGCACGAAAGCGUGGGGAGCGAACAGG
Molecule: ribosomal RNA, 253 nt
Filed under: uncultured bacterium
Lineage: Bacteria
Description: partial 16S ribosomal RNA
Rfam family: Bacterial small subunit ribosomal RNA
Source: RNAcentral